GCCUGGGUGGCUCAGUUGGUUGAGUGUCUGACUUCGACUCAGGUCAUGAUCUCAAGGUCUGUGAGUUCGAGCCCCACAUAGGGCU
Transfer RNA from Felis catus (domestic cat), 85 nucleotides. It matches the Rfam family "tRNA". From Rfam's summary of the family: Transfer RNA (tRNA) molecules are approximately 80 nucleotides in length. Their secondary structure includes four short double-helical elements and three loops (D, anti-codon, and T loops). Lineage: Eukaryota; Metazoa; Chordata; Mammalia; Carnivora; Felidae. The record is from Rfam.